Molecule: transfer RNA, 65 nt
Filed under: Ocypode cordimanus
Lineage: Eukaryota; Metazoa; Arthropoda; Malacostraca; Decapoda; Ocypodidae
Also listed under: 1 other name
Description: tRNA-Ala
Source: RNAcentral
AAGACCAUAGUCAAUACCUAUGACGUAUGAGUUGCAUUCAUAAAGAGUUUUCUAAACUGGUUUUA